GACGAACGCUGGCGGCGUGCUUAACACAUGCAAGUCGAACGCUGAAGCUCAGCUUUUGUUGGGUGGAUGAGUGGCGAACGGGUGAGUAACACGUGAGUAACCUGCCCCCUUCUUUGGGAUAACGCCCGGAAACGGGUGCUAAUACUGGAUAUUCACUGGUCUUCGCAUGGGGGUUGGUGGAAAGGGUUUUUCUGGUGGGGGAUGGGCUCGCGGCCUAUCAGCUUGUUGGUGGGGUGAUGGCCUACCAAGGCUUUGACGGGUAGCCGGCCUGAGAGGGUGACCGGUCACAUUGGGACUGAGAUACGGCCCAGACUCCUACGGGAGGCAGCAGUGGGGAAUAUUGCCCAAUGGGCGCAAGACUGAUGCAGCGACGCCGCGUGAGGGAUGGAGGCCUUCGGGUUGUGAACCUCUUUAGCUCAUGGUCAAGCCGCAACAAUGGUUGUGGUGAGGGUAGUGGGUAAAGAAGCGCCGGCUAACUACGUG
RNAcentral lists this ribosomal RNA (483 nucleotides) under uncultured bacterium. Its description in RNAcentral is "partial 16S ribosomal RNA". It matches the Rfam family "Bacterial small subunit ribosomal RNA", at positions 28 to 507 of the family's 1533-position model. The record is from RNAcentral.